GGCUCACCAAGGCGACGAUCCGUAACUGGUCUGAGAGGAUGAUCAGUCACACUGGAACUGAGACACGGUCCAGACUCCUACGGGAGGCAGCAGUGGGGAAUAUUGGACAAUGGGCGAAAGCCUGAUCCAGCCAUGCCGCGUGUGUGAAGAAGGUCUUCGGAUUGUAAAGCACUUUAAGUUGGGAGGAAGGGUUGUAGAUUAAUACUCUGCAAUUUUGACGUUACCGACAGAAUAAGCACCGGCUAACUCUGUGCCAGCAGCCGCGGUAAUACAGAGGGUGCAAGCGUUAAUCGGAAUUACUGGGCGUAAAGCGCGCGUAGGUGGUUCGUUAAGUUGGAUGUGAAAUCCCCGGGCUCAACCUGGGAACUGCAUUCAAAACUGUCGAGCUAGAGUAUGGUAGAGGGUGGUGGAAUUUCCUGUGUAGCGGUGAAAUGCGUAGAUAUAGGAAGGAACACCAGUGGCGAAGGCGACCACCUGGACUGAUACUGACACUGAGGUGCGAAAGCGUGGGGAGCAAACAGG
This 522-nucleotide ribosomal RNA is filed under the name Pseudomonas gessardii. Its description in RNAcentral is "bacterial SSU rRNA". It matches the Rfam family "Bacterial small subunit ribosomal RNA", at positions 262 to 776 of the family's 1533-position model. Lineage: Bacteria; Pseudomonadati; Pseudomonadota; Gammaproteobacteria; Pseudomonadales; Pseudomonadaceae. The record is from RNAcentral.